CCCUUAGAUGUUCUGGGCUGCACGCGCGCUACACUGAUGCGUUCAACGAGUACAUUUGCCUUGACCGGAAGGUUUGGGGAAUCUGUGAAUACGCAUCGUGAUGGGGAUAGACCUUUGCAAUUAUGGGUCUUCAACGAGGAAUUCCUAGUAAACGCAAGUCAUCAGCUUGCAUUGAUUACGUCCCUGCCCUUUGUACACACCGCCCGUCGCACCUACCGAUUGAAUGGUCCGGUGAAAUCUCGGGACGGCGGCUUGGUCGCUUGCGUCCGACUGCUGAAACUUGAUUAAACCAUAUCAUUUAGAGGAAGGUGAAGUCGUANCA
This 322-nucleotide ribosomal RNA is filed under the name uncultured eukaryote. Its description in RNAcentral is "partial 18S ribosomal RNA". It matches the Rfam family "Eukaryotic small subunit ribosomal RNA", at positions 1470 to 1796 of the family's 1831-position model. The record is from RNAcentral.